Molecule: ribosomal RNA, 492 nt
Filed under: uncultured bacterium
Lineage: Bacteria
Description: partial 16S ribosomal RNA
Rfam family: Bacterial small subunit ribosomal RNA
Source: RNAcentral
AGUGAACGCUGGCGGUAGGCCUAACACAUGCAAGUCGAACGGCAGCACAGUAAGAGCUUGCUCUUACGGGUGGCGAGUGGCGGACGGGUGAGGAAUACAUCGGAAUCUACUUUUUCGUGGGGGAUAACGUAGGGAAACUUACGCUAAUACCGCAUACGACCUACGAGUGAAAGCAGGGGAUCUUCGGACCUUGCGCGAUUGAAUGAGCCGAUGUCGGAUUAGCUAGUUGGCGGGGUAAAGGCCCACCAAGGCGACGAUCCGUAGCUGGUCUGAGAGGAUGAUCAGCCACACUGGAACUGGGACACGGUCCAGACUCCUACGGGAGGCAGCAGUGGGGAAUAUUGGACAAUGGGCGCAAGCCUGAUCCAGCCAUACCGCGUGGGUGAAGAAGGCCUUCGGGUUGUAAAGCCCUUUUGUUGGGAAAGAAAAGCAGCAGGUUAAUACCCCGCUGUUCUGACGGUACCCAAAGAAUAAGCACCGGCUAACUUCGUG